UUCAAACGUGCUGGAGCAAAAUAACGCUCCUCCAUGUCUGCACAACGUUUGGCCCUUAAACCAUCGAACAAAUGGCAAAAUCUAUUGAUUUGAUCUCUCUUUUCGUCUACUCUCUCUGUUUUCAUCUCAAUCAACAUCACCUGCCCUCCCAUCACCUUUGUUGAAGCAAAAAUGCUCUGUAAUUUCAUCAGAAGAUGGGAAAAUUCAAAGAGCAAUCGGUUUCAAGGUGUUUUUUCUUUUGAAUCGACGGCUAUCAAGCUUUAACCGACACUCCACCGUCAAUGCAUCGUUUUCCCGUAAAAUCAGCUGAAAAGUUUUCGAUUACACUUUUCUUACUCUUCUUGCUGAUCAUUGUUGGUGAGAAAAUCGUUCAUCGAUUCGUGGUUCAGGUUCACUGCCCGAAAUAAGUUUGAGUUGAAUCUCCAACGAAAAAGCCCAAGUUCGCUGCCCCACACAAGAGAAGCGAUAAUAGAUGCAUCACGUAUUUCCGUCUAGCAGUCUAGUACCUUUUCCCUCUUUUCAAAUUUUAUUCUUCUUUUGUAGACACUUAUUGUUAUUUUUGUUUAAUAUUUCAGACAUUAUUAUUUAGAAUUUUUUUUUGUUCUUACUUGAAUUCUUAAAUAUGAUAGUAAGUUAAUUUGUUCCCUUUUGUCCCUCUUAGAUUUUAAAUUAGCAUGUCGCUAGACAUAAGUAUUUAAUUUAUAUCAUUAAAAGUUUUAAAGUUGAUAGGUUAAAACAUACCUUUUAGAAUAAUUGGUCGAGUUGUUAGAGAUCUUUAACGCUUUAAUAUAGAAUAAUGGUUGUCUUUAGAAUCAAUGUUAGAUACUCACUAUUUAGUAAUAGUGAAAGAAAUAAAAAUAUAGGUUUUUUGCGGUAGGCGAAUUUAUCAUUCCUAGACUUGAAAAUCGGCUUUAAUUAUUUUGGAUAUGGUAAAUCAAUUCCCUUUUCUUAUCAAUUUCAAAUAAAAGAUAGUAAGUUUUCCACUUUGAUUCCAUGAGGCAUUUUCUUAAGAUUUCAAAUGCCGAAAAAAAUAUUUUCUUUAA
This is a long non-coding RNA of Capsicum annuum, 1043 nucleotides long. RefSeq lists it as uncharacterized. The transcript is spliced from 3 exons. The record is from RefSeq and is a predicted model, not a curated record. NCBI's taxonomy places the organism in Eukaryota, Viridiplantae, Streptophyta, Magnoliopsida, Solanales, Solanaceae.